UACAGAGGGGGCAAGCGUUAUUCGGAAUUAUUGGGCGUAAAGGGCGCGUAGGCGGCUUGGCAAGUGGGUGGUGAAAUCCCUCGGCUUAACCGAGGAACUGCCGUCCAAACUGCUUUGCUUGAGGCCGGGAGAGGUGAGUGGAAUUCACAGUGUAGCGGUGAAAUGCGUAGAUAUUGGGAGGAACACCAGUGGCGAAGGCGGCUCGCUGGACCGGUUCUGACGCUGAAGCGCGAAAGCGUGGGGAGCAAACGGG
RNAcentral lists this ribosomal RNA (253 nucleotides) under uncultured bacterium. Its description in RNAcentral is "partial 16S ribosomal RNA". It matches the Rfam family "Bacterial small subunit ribosomal RNA", at positions 524 to 776 of the family's 1533-position model. The record is from RNAcentral.